CUCUUCCUUUUUGGAGAAAUUCCUGAAGGUGAACUCCAACAGUAACAGUAUUACGAUGAAUUCUAUGUAGCUGAGUCUGUUUUUUCUCGGAUGCAAAAGCCGAAAUAUAACUCUCACCAGCAGAAGUUCAUCACCAAGUUAGGAAAGUAAAUGUUUAUGAUCGAUAUAUGUAGUUGCAAGAACUGUGAUUUUUCAACCGAAAAGAAUACAAGCAUUGGAGAUUCAGAACCAUUGGGCAAACUCGGUAUCUGUUUAACAAAAGGUUCAUGGCGCUAUGGGAUCAAAA
Capsella rubella is the source of this 286-nucleotide long non-coding RNA. RefSeq lists it as uncharacterized. NCBI's taxonomy places the organism in Eukaryota, Viridiplantae, Streptophyta, Magnoliopsida, Brassicales, Brassicaceae. The record is from RefSeq and is a predicted model, not a curated record. The transcript has 3 exons.